GGGCGGUUAGCUCAGAGGGAGAGCGCUACCCUCACACGGUAGAGGCCACUGGUUCGAUCCCAGUACCGCCCACCA
RNAcentral lists this transfer RNA (75 nucleotides) under Deltaproteobacteria bacterium. RNAcentral's name for it is "tRNA-Val". It matches the Rfam family "tRNA". Rfam says of the family: Transfer RNA (tRNA) molecules are approximately 80 nucleotides in length. Their secondary structure includes four short double-helical elements and three loops (D, anti-codon, and T loops). RNAcentral also lists the same sequence under 1 other name. The record is from RNAcentral. Lineage: Bacteria; Pseudomonadati; Myxococcota; Myxococcia.